RNAcentral lists this ribosomal RNA (497 nucleotides) under uncultured bacterium. RNAcentral describes it as "partial 16S ribosomal RNA". It matches the Rfam family "Bacterial small subunit ribosomal RNA", at positions 899 to 1397 of the family's 1533-position model. The record is from RNAcentral.
ACUCAAAUGAAUUGACGGGGGCCCGCACAAGCGGCGGAGCAUGCGGAUUAAUUCGAUGCAACGCGAAGAACCUUACCAAGGCUUGACAUGGGCAGUAAUCCGGCAGAGAUGUCGGGUCCGUAAGGGCUGCUCACAGGUGGUGCAUGGUUGUCGUCAGCUCGUGUCGUGAGAUGUUGGGUUAAGUCCCGCAACGAGCGCAACCCUCGUUCUAUGUUGCCAGCACGUGAUGGUGGGGACUCAUAGAAGACUGCCGGGGUCAACUCGGAGGAAGGUGGGGAUGACGUCAAAUCAUCAUGCCCCUUAUGUCUUGGGCUUCACGCAUGCUACAAUGGCCAGUACAAAGGGCUGCGAGACCGUAAGGUGGAGCGAAUCCCAAAAAGCUGGUCUCAGUUCGGAUCGGGGUCUGCAACUCGACCCCGUGAAGUCGGAGUCGCUAGUAAUCGCAGAUCAGCAACGCUGCGGUGAAUACGUUCCCGGGCCUUGUACACACCGCCCGU